Long non-coding RNA from Dendronephthya gigantea, 1670 nucleotides. RefSeq lists it as uncharacterized. The transcript has 3 exons. NCBI's taxonomy places the organism in Eukaryota, Metazoa, Cnidaria, Anthozoa, Malacalcyonacea, Nephtheidae. The record is from RefSeq and is a predicted model, not a curated record.
CACCUUAAAAUAACCAGGUAAUAUGGGACAUUGUAAUAUCCAUUCCUGGUUCUUUUUAAUAAUUGUCUGAAAGGUGGUCAAUAUUUGAGUGUAAUGCUCAAAUGCACAUUAGCUAUUUACACAACCAAGAAGUGCUAUAAACAUUUGAUUGGUGCAUUUUUGGAUAACAUAUAUAUGUGAGAGUUAAGUGGCAUUUAAAAGCUUGGUGAUUUGCAGUCUUCCAUAUCAAAUGUGGUCUUUUAUGCUACAAAGUUUUAAGUAAUACAUCUCUCAAAACUGACCCUUAAACAUGUUAUAUAUGAUUAUGAAGCUAUAUAUAUUCAUAAGGCUAUAAAUACAAUUUUUUGAAAAAACUAUUUUGUGUUAAUAUUAUCUGUCAAAGAACCAUGCAUUGAACAGUGCAGAUCAUGCGAAUCAAGCAUUAAACUGUGCAGAUAAUUUAGAGCUAUAAUUAUACACAAUAUGUAUUGCAAGGCAGGUUUUAAUCAGAAAUCAAUGUUAAAAAAUUUGACCUUUUGAAUUAAUAUUUUUGAGGGCUCAUGAAAGUUAAAUUUUCAUGUAUGAAAAAUAAUUAAUUUAUAUGUCUUUUCCAUUGUCCCACUUGGAAACCUCAAUAACAUUUAUACAAAAUCACCAACAACAUCAAAUCAUGGAUUAAUUAAACUGAAGAAAUAAGUGUUUGUUAGCUACCACAGAAUAUGUUCAUAAAUUAAUAAAGCCAAAAACAUUACUGAUAGUAUCCUAACAUUAACUUUCAUUUUAAAUUUUGACAGUUGAUUUUAAAAUCAAGACAAACUGAGUCAACUAAUCAAGAAAAAGAAAACCUCAUGAUGUGGGUUGAAUUGCCAGGGACACCUAUGCUAAGACUUCAGGUCUUUAUACAGCUCAGUGGCCGGGUCUUUCUUGGCGAAAUAUUUGCAAAGUACACACGAAGCCCUCGCUUGCUCCGUAAAAAGUUCUCUUUCUCGGUACUUUUCAUUCGAAAAUUGUAAACUUAGUAGAGGACUUGCGAUUUUGGAUGCGAAAAGCUGGAUUUGGCGACUAGUGCGAGCUAUUUUAAGAAGCAGUAGAAGGAGUCCACAAUGCCCGGUAGAGGGUAGAAGAAGCAAUGCCAAUGGGAAACUCAAACACAAAUUUCAAUACAAGAAAGCCCUAACCAGGCCCUAACCUAGCGAAACGAUGUUGAAAACAACCCCAAAAUAACUGUUCAAUUCUCAAUGGACGAAGCAACUUACCAUGAUGCAGUAAAUCUAGAUUGAAGACUUGUUUCGUGCAAUUGGCACAACAGGAAACCUCCGAAAAUUUUACUACGAGGAAAAUUGUAAAAGAAGAAACGUGGAUCAGUAUUGCUUAUACAGCCAAGUCAUCAUCUUGGUAGAGUGAGUCUUAGCUUAGUAGAACUCUAGUAGAACUGAACAACCAGUGUCUUAAUGACUAUACCAUUAUGUUUUAGGCAUGCAUGGUACUCCACUUAAAAACAUUUUCUAAGUUUUUUGCAAAUGUGCAUGUGUGUUAAAGUGUAAAUAAAAAGUAUUAAAGAGCUAUACUAUAGAAGCAAUUCCUUUAAUGCGUAGUUGACUUGCUGUACUCAAACAGAAAUGUAAUUGAUCUCAUGUAUUCAAUAUUAUAAUAAUAUAAUAACGAUAUUUGUGCUGCAUUGUUUGUUGACU